Molecule: non-coding RNA, 72 nt
Organism: Danio rerio (zebrafish)
Lineage: Eukaryota; Metazoa; Chordata; Actinopteri; Cypriniformes; Danionidae
Source: Rfam
GGUUCCAUGGUGUAAUGGUUAGCACUCUGGACUCUGAAUCCAGCGAUUUGAGUUCAAAUCUUGGUGGGACCU